Long non-coding RNA from Apis mellifera (honey bee), 2278 nucleotides. RefSeq lists it as uncharacterized. The record is from RefSeq and is a predicted model, not a curated record. The transcript is spliced from 2 exons. Lineage: Eukaryota; Metazoa; Arthropoda; Insecta; Hymenoptera; Apidae.
UUCUUAUAUUUUCUAUAUUAUUUUUUUAUUAUUAAAUACAUUUUUAAUUCAUAUCUGUAAAGAAUAGCGCAAUUACUUCUAUUUAUUUGUUUCUAUAAAAUUAAAACGAAAAAGAAAAAAAUGAAUCUCAAAUCAUUAAUCUUGAUCACUGAUUUAAAAAACACGUUAGAAAAGAAAACUGUACAUAAAUUGUCUCGUUAAAAAUUACUAUUUACAAAAGAUUGAAUUUGAAUCUCAAUAAUAAUAACAGAAACAUCACCAUCAUAUCAAUAUCAACUUAAUCGUUCCUUAAUUCACAGGGGAGAGAAAAGGUAAAUCCUUGGCACGAUCGAUGCGCUCAUUCGUUAAAUACUUUCUUUUUUUUCUUUUCUUUUAAUCUAGAACAGAAAAAUCCAAAGAUAUCGUCCGCGCAUCGUACGUGUACCGAAGUUACAAUAGAGCGGAAGGUAUGUACUAAUUGGAUGCAGCCUUUCAGCAGAAGCAAGCAGCAACGGGGGUUGGUUUAGAUUGGAAGAGCGGCGUGGACUGCGGCUGGCUACGACGGAUCGGGUUACACAAAGGCAGCUUUUUUAAUUGGAUAACGUCAUAUCGACGCGUUCACACGCGUAUGCCAACUUUUUUUCCCAUCGAUUUGCUUGCUGGUCCGCCAUCGGCCACCUAUGGGACGGCCGCAGAGAAACGUCCAACGUCGUCCUCCCUGUCGACGACGACGAGGAAAAUGCCGUUGGAAUGCCUGUUGUUGUUCCACCAAUACAGACGUGUUACGCGCGAAAUUGUUGGCCUGUCGUUUUCGACACUGAAGGUGUUCCAUGGAGAAGAGAUAAAAAAAAGAAGGGAGGGAGGAAAAGGUUGUUUCUUUCGUGGUACGUAUUGGAACGAGAUCACCGCUUAUCAAACAACGCGAUUGUAUUUUCAAUUUUUAAUCUAAACUAAUGGGUAUCCCAGAAAACUGUCGAUAACAUUUACAUAGGUAAUAUUUAUAUCUUCUUUUCAAUAGUGAGAGAUAAUCGUGAAUGUUUGGGUUGGAAUUAUUGUUAGAGAUGGGGAAAGAGGAUGUUGAUUCGAGAGAAUUUUGCAAGAUAGAUCCAUUAUUUUUAAUUCUUCUAAUUUCAGAUUAAAAGAAAAGGAAAAAAUGAUUGGACAUAUAUUUUUGAUCUCAAAUUAUUCGCUAUUAUUAUUCGCAAAAUACUUCAAUUAUUCGUGGAUGAAGUAACACGAACUAAGUAGAAGAAACACAGUCAUCGUUUCUAAUAGUGAUCACGAGAUAAGGGGGGGCUUUAGGUAAUUUACUAAUGUAGAAUCAUCCCUCUUUGUGCUGUUUUUCCCUCAAAUUUCACCUUUUAUCUCCUCUCAUUCCCUUUUUCUUUACGUAUUUACGUUGUGAGCAUCAAUUUUUUUCAUCUUAACCUUUCUUUCUUCCCCGUUCGUUCUACGACCACUCUGGCAGCACGUUAUCUAUCCUCUUGAAGCAAGCUAUUACGCGAUUGUAUCUUAAAUAAAAUAUCACGAGCAUCCCAUCGCCAACCACUCGAAAUAAUAAUUGUCAUCUCGAUGUCAGCUUUCGCUUCUACGAUCCUUUUACCCUCGACUAUGUGCCCACAUCUCAUUUCCUGCCUUUCUUCUGCUUUCCUUUUUGCGAACAGAGCAAACGAAUUCGAAAUAGGAUAAUCUCGAUUGUGUUAUUGCAAUUAGUUUUUUUAAAAAUUGUAAAAAGUAAUUAGAAUUAUUUUAAUAAAAAAAUAUAGUGAAAAAAAUAAAAAGUUUUACUUUUAAAAAUAAUAUAUUAACUGCUGAAAAUAUUAUUUCGCGAGACAACCAAUUUUCAUUAUAGAAAAUGAUAAGAAACUAUGAUUAAUCAGAGACUGGUAAAUCAAAAACUUUUUAACAUUGUAUAAAAGUUAGAAUAUUAAAAACAAUUAGUAAAUAGAAAUUAAAAAAUGAAAAUUCAUUAUCGAAAGUUAUUUAAUACUCUUUAAACAUACAACAUUUCCUCCAUUUUUUCAAGAAUUUAUCUAGAAGAGAAGAAUAAUGGUAACUAAUCAUUUCAUUACGAAUCUUAAUUAAAAAGAUAUCCUCAAAUUAUUCAAAAACAUUCGGAUCGUUAAAAUGGCUUUUUUAUAGUGGCUCUAAAAACAAUAUUAUCCUCAUUUUCAGGAUCAAACGACGCAGUUUAAAGAAUUAAUUAUAUCGGAUUUAAUACAACGGAAUAAAAUGGACGACAUAAUAAUAUGAGCAAUUAAUACUUAUCCUUUUUUCUUUCUUUUUUUCUUUUUUUUUU